AAAGCGGCGCACGGGUGAGUAACACGUAGGUAAUUUACCCCCUUGGUGGUGGAUAACCUUCCGAAAGGAGGGCUAAUACAGCAUAAGACCACGUCUUCGCAAGGAGAUGAGGUCAAAGCCGGCCUCUUCACGAAAGCUGGCGCCAGGGGAUGAGCCUGCGGCCCAUCACGGUAGUUGGUAGGGUAAUGGCCUACCAAGCCUAAGACGGGUAGCUGGUCUGAGAGGAUGAUCAGCCACACUGGAACUGAGACACGGUCCAGACUCCUACGGGAGGCAGCAGUAGGGAAUAUUGGGCAAUGGGCGCAAGCCUGACCCAGCCAUGCCGCGUGGAGGAUGAAGGCGCUCAGCGUUGUAAACUUCUUUUAUCGGGGAAGAACGGCAGUCCUGCGGGAUUGUGUGACGGUACUCGAGGAAUAAGCACCGGCUAACUCCGUGCCAGCAGCCGCGGUAAU
RNAcentral lists this ribosomal RNA (452 nucleotides) under uncultured bacterium. Its description in RNAcentral is "bacterial SSU rRNA". It matches the Rfam family "Bacterial small subunit ribosomal RNA", at positions 92 to 524 of the family's 1533-position model. The record is from RNAcentral.